GGCUUCACUCAAGCAGAAUCCCAUUGCCUUCACUGGGAACACUUCCCAGCAUUGGAUUCAAACUUUUUCCCCACUUAUCAUUUGGGAAAGGGCUGAACAGAACCCCUGCAGGGCCCCAGCACUGCUGGAAGAAAAGAUCUUUUUUCAUUCUUGUUAUUGGAUGCAGUGAGAAAUAUUUCUAGAGGAUAUGGUGUUUUGAUAAGAGUUUGUAUCAUACCUGUGAAUAUGUUUGAUUAAAGCAAGACUUACCCUCAGCAAUGAUGUGGAGGGGCAAAUGUAAGAGCAAUGCCCCAAAAGUGCUUGGGAAGAUCAUUUCUUUGAAGAUUUUAACUUUCCCAGUAGUUUUUUUGUGAGUAUCUUUCAAUUCAGGAUGCAAAGGAAGCACUGAAUCAACCUGCACUGCUUAAUCCAGCUGAGAAAAUUGUAAAGGGAAGGAGCAAAUACACCUGGAUAAAAUGAUGGGACUUAUGUCUGGCACUGUGUGGUAAGAUCCAAAUACUUUGAGGGCACCUGGUUGUGAAGGACUUAGGAAAUGUUCAUCCUGGGAAUGUUUGACAGCUUCCCACAUCCUGAUGUCUGAUGCAUUUGGGAUUUUCUGUCCACAGGGAUUUCUGCAGGUUUGGUAAAUCCUUUUCCAAGUUCUGAAGUGGGGAAAUACCUGAACUCUCCAAGAUACAGAUAAAUUACCCUGGGCAGUGUUCCAGGACCUGCAGGACAGCAGAGGCUGCAGCCUCUGGAUGAGGACAGGACCAACCAGCUCCUGCUUGGAAGAGCCUCCAAGCCAGGCAAGGCCUGGGAAGCAGGGAUGCUCCUCCCUGCUGGUGUGUCAGGAGCUGCAGAGAAUUGGUAACAGAGUCCAGAACGAGACAUUCCGAGUCUCAGGCCUGUUUUUCACAGCAACUUGUUCCCUGAGGUCAAAUGUGUGGUGAGCAGAGGAGGCUCAGUGAGCAGCACAUGGAAUCAUGGAAUCACAGAGUAUUUGGGUUGGAAGGAACAUUAAAGAUGGUCUCAUUCCCACCCCCUGCCAUGGGAAGGGACAUCUUCCAUCUCUACAUCCUCUGCCCACGAGCUGCACCACGAGCAAAUAUCUUCCUAAGGUGAAGCUGGUGGUGCUGCUGGCCAGGAUUUGAGAGAUGAGGGCUCAUCCCAGGCAUUCCCAGGUAAUGCAGUUUAUCCAAAUAUUCACCACAGCAGCUGGUCCCUUCUCAGAGGCACGUCUAUACGAUAGAAAAAAGAGCCAUAAUUCAUUUAAAGCUGACCUGUAUUUAAGAAUUAUUGUACAUUGCCUUUCAGUGAGACAGCUUAUCCUGAAAUUGUUCUUAUUUGCUAUCUCAGUUUGAGUGUGGGAAUGAAUGAUGACAUAUGAGCAACGUGUGAAAGAAUGGGCUCCUCACCUUUGAAUGGCUGUUGAUUAAAGCAGAUCCAUUAAUAGGGCAGGAACGAGAAGCACUUUUUCCUGUGUGGAUUCUCUGGCACAUAAUGAGGUCUGGAUUUAUAUCACGGCCUUUUCCUUCCCACAAAUGCCAGUAUAAAUCUGACUGCUUUGCUGUCUCCCUCCAGCCUGGCCAUUCCAUGGGAGCUCUGAUCUCUUCCUGGACUUCCCUGCAGCUGCACUGCCCCAGGUAACAUGUUUUGUGCUGUACAGAGGCAGACAGCCAUUUUCUCACAAGCUCCUUGAGGUAAAAGUUUGUGAGAGCUGUCACAACACAUUCACAACACAUCGUGUUCCGGAGCUCGUUGCCGGCGGCACACGGAGAGAACCAGCCCUGCACCCAGGACCAACCCACCAGAGCAAGCUGGGACUGUGUGGUCCAAGGCCACUGAGUUCCUGAGGCUUUGUGGAGGAGUUUGCAGCCCUGGAGCUGCAGGACGGGCUGUCCUGUACAACCCAUUCCAGCCGGGAAGUCUGAGUGGAAACCAUCCUGAGGACAAGGCUGGCUGGGGGUAGCCCAGCUUCCAGGGAGAACAAUCCCCAUCUUCCAAUCCAAACUGUGGGAAGGACGCUGGAAAAGGAGGAACUGGAGACCAAAGCUCUUUCUUUGUAGCUCUUUGGUUGAGAAGAAGAAAUGAAAAGCUCAGUCUGGAGUCUCUAAUUGUGAGUCAGUCGCCCACAGGCAGAGUGUUCCUGGUCCACUGCUGUUCGAGGGGACUGGAGUUUCCAGCCUGUUUCAAAUGUAGAACUUCUGGCAACAACUGCAGCCAGUGCACUGCAAACUCCUGCAGCAGAUGCAACAUCAAGCCACAGUGCAGGGAAGAGCUGGGGAAGCUGAAUCUUUCACAAGAAUCCUGCAAUUGGGGUAUUUUCCUUAAAACCCUGAGCUGAGCCUCCUCGAUGCAAAUGAACACAUUUGUGUGACUUCCUCCAUCCCAGGAGCUCUGACAUUGUCUCUCAGCUGCCCAGAAUUCCAACAGUCCCUUUUUGUUGGCUGUGGAUCUUCACCCCAUGUGCCAGCAAGGGCUGCUGUGGGGACAGGACGUCCACCCCGUGGAUGUGGUGCUCUGGAAGAGCCACCAUUAAACGUGCAUCACCUUCUGCUCUUCCCUAGUGGUUGGGAGCAGGGACAUGGUUAGAAGGAAGGAAGGAGGAGGAUGGAGAUCUGAGCAUUUCCAGUUUCCAGGCAGGUACUUCCAAGGGGCAACGAGCCCUGCCCAGCCCUCCCAGCCCUGCCCUGUGCUCCAUCAGCUCACCUGAUGCAAGGCAAGAUAGAGAGUACUUUGCUUACCUCCUUAGCUGGGUGAGACCAUUAGCUCCUGGAUGAGAUGGUUAUGCUGUAAUUUGUUGCUCCGUAUUCUACAUAUUUUAAACCAGUUGAUGACCUUUAAAAGGAAUUAAUUUUUUUUAAUAUUUUUCAGUGCUUAGGUAUUUUAAUCUGUUCUUUACAUUUCCUUUUAGGACCACAUUUAAAUUUUUUAAAUAUUUAAUUAAAAGCCCACCUCUGUGUGCCUUAAUAUGAAGCUCUCAUUUGAUUUCAUUUUAUAUCUGUGACAUAAAUCUUUGCUCCUUAUUUUAGCUUUGUCUGUAAUGCAACCACUGAGGCAAAUGCUAAAGAUGUCUCUGAUUUUCUGUCAGGAUCAGGAUUUUCACAGAAUUCAGAGUAAGGCAAUGCUUCUUCAGUCUUGUUCUCACAUUUUAAGAAUAAAAGUCAAUGAAAUGCCACUACAGAUAUAUUUUUUUGGUGCUGCAAAUUGCAUUUUGAUGAAUCUCCACUCCUUCAGCACUGCCAGGAAGCCUCCCUUGUUGCUUCUAGCAAGAAUUGUCAUGGUGAUGCAUUCUGUUGACCACAUUUUUGAAACACAGAUUGUUUCUAAUUUUGUUUCUCCAAUUUACUCUGUGCUGCAAUAUCUCUGGUUCUCUCUCUCACUCUCUGUUUUUUUGAAGAUUUCUGUCACGACAGAUUAUAAAUACCCCCCUGGUGGGCUCUGCCCUCUCACCUUCACAUCACAGAACGUGCUGGCUGAGAUCCCCUCCUGCCUCCUCCCUCCGGGGGUUUGGGCUGUGGCUCCAGCACCAAACCACGAUGGGUUUGGCCGAGCUGGCCUUGUCCCCAUGUGCUGGCACCCAAAUGCCAGAGGGCACCUCACCUCCUGCUCCCAGAGCACUCGGCUG
Molecule: long non-coding RNA, 3607 nt
Organism: Pseudopipra pipra
Lineage: Eukaryota; Metazoa; Chordata; Aves; Passeriformes; Pipridae
Exons: 9
Source: RefSeq, a predicted model, not a curated record